UACGGAGAGUGCAAACGUUGUUCGGAUUCACUGGGCGUAAAGGGCACGUAGGCGGCUCGGCAAAUCGGUCGUGGAAUCUCGACGCUUACCGUCGAAACGGCGGCCGAAAAUACCGGGCUCGAGGGCGUGAGGGGUCACUGGAACUCCUGGUGAAGCGGUGAAAUGCGUAGAUAUCAGGAGGAACGCCGGAGGCGAAAGCGAGUGACUGGCGCGUUCCUGACGCUGAGGUGCGAAAGCCAGGGGAGCAAACAGG
RNAcentral lists this ribosomal RNA (253 nucleotides) under uncultured bacterium. RNAcentral describes it as "partial 16S ribosomal RNA". It matches the Rfam family "Bacterial small subunit ribosomal RNA", at positions 524 to 776 of the family's 1533-position model. The record is from RNAcentral.